GGGUUGUGAGGUUAAGCGACUAAGCGUACACGGUGGAUGCCCUGGCAGUCAGAGGCGAUGAAGGACGUGCUAAUCUGCGAUAAGCGUCGGUAAGGUGAUAUGAACCGUUAUAACCGGCGAUUUCCGAAUGGGGAAACCCAGUGUGWUUCGWCACACUAUCAUUAACUGAAUCCAUAGGUUAAUGAGGCGAACCGGGGGAACUGAAACAUCUAAGUACCCCGAGGAAAAGAAAUCAACCGAGAUUCCCCCAGUAGCGGCGAGCGAACGGGGAGSAGCCCAGAGCCUGAAUCAGUGUGUGUGUUAGUGGAAGYGUCUGGAAAGGCGCGCGAUACAGGGUGACAGCCCCGUACACAAAAAUGCACAURCUGUGAGCUCGAUGAGUAGGGCGGGACACGUGGUAUCCUGUCUGAAUAUGGGGGGACCAUCCUCCAAGGCUAAAUACUCCUGACUGACCGAUAGUGAACCAGUACCGUGAGGGAAAGGCGAAAAGAACCCCGGCGAGGGGAGUGAAAAAGAACCUGAAACCGUGUACGUACAAGCAGUGGGAGCACGCUUAGGCGUGUGACUGCGUACCUUUUGUAUAAUGGGUCAGCGACUUAUAUUCUGUAGCAAGGUUAACCGAAUAGGGGAGCCGAAGGGAAACCGAGUCUUAACUGGGCGUUAAGUUGCAGGGUAUAGACCCGAAACCCGGUGAUCUAGCCAUGGGCAGGUUGAAGGUUGGGUAACACUAACUGGAGGACCGAACCGACUAAUGUUGAAAAAUUAGCGGAUGACUUGUGGCUGGGGGUGAAAGGCCAAUCAAACCGGGAGAUAGCUGGUUCUCCCCGAAAGCUAUUUAGGUAGCGCCUCGUGAAUUCAUCUCCGGGGGUAGAGCACUGUUUCGGCAAGGGGGUCAUCCCGACUUACCAACCCGAUGCAAACUGCGAAUACCGGAGAAUGUUAUCACGGGAGACACACGGCGGGUGCUAACGUCCGUCGUGAAGAGGGAAACAACCCAGACCGCCAGCUAAGGUCCCAAAGUCAUGGUUAAGUGGGAAACGAUGUGGGAAGGCCCAGACAGCCAGGAUGUUGGCUUAGAAGCAGCCAUCAUUUAAAGAAAGCGUAAUAGCUCACUGGUCGAGUCGGCCUGCGCGGAAGAUGUAACGGGGCUAAACCAUGCACCGAAGCUGCGGCAGCGACGCUGAUGCGUUGUUGGGUAGGGGAGCGUUCUGUAAGCCUGCGAAGGUGUGCUGUGAGGCAUGCUGGAGGUAUCAGAAGUGCGAAUGCUGACAUAAGUAACGAUAAAGCGGGUGAAAAGCCCGCUCGCCGGAAGACCAAGGGUUCCUGUCCAACGUUAAUCGGGGCAGGGUGAGUCGACCCCUAAGGCGAGGCCGAAAGGCGUAGUCGAUGGGAAACAGGUUAAUAUUCCUGUACUUGGUGUUACUGCGAAGGGGGGACGGAGAAGGCUAUGUUGGCCGGGCGACGGUUGUCCCGGUUUAAGCGUGUAGGCUGGUUUUCCAGGCAAAUCCGGAAAAYYAAGGCUGAGGCGUGAUGACGAGGCACUACGGUGCUGAAGCAACAAAUGCCCUGCUUCCAGGAAAAGCCUCUAAGCAUCAGGUAACAUCAAAUCGUACCCCAAACCGACACAGGUGGUCAGGUAGAGAAUACCAAGGCGCUUGAGAGAACUCGGGUGAAGGAACUAGGCAAAAUGGUGCCGUAACUUCGGGAGAAGGCACGCUGAUAUGUAGGUGAAGUCCCUCGCGGAUGGAGCUGAAAUCAGUCGAAGAUACCAGCUGGCUGCAACUGUUUAUUAAAAACACAGCACUGUGCAAACACGAAAGUGGACGUAUACGGUGUGACGCCUGCCCGGUGCCGGAAGGUUAAUUGAUGGGGUYAGCGCAAGCGAAGCUCUUGAUCGAAGCCCCGGUAAACGGCGGCCGUAACUAUAACGGUCCUAAGGUAGCGAAAUUCCUUGUCGGGUAAGUUCCGACCUGCACGAAUGGCGUAAUGAUGGCCAGGCUGUCUCCACCCGAGACUCAGUGAAAUUGAACUCGCUGUGAAGAUGCAGUGUACCCGCGGCAAGACGGAAAGACCCCGUGAACCUUUACUAUAGCUUGACACUGAACAUUGAGCCUUGAUGUGUAGGAUAGGUGGGAGGCUUUGAAGUGUGGACGCCAGUCUGCAUGGAGCCGACCUUGAAAUACCACCCUUUAAUGUUUGAUGUUCUAACGUUGACCCGURAUCCGGGUUGCGGACAGUGUCUGGUGGGUAGUUUGACUGGGGCGGUCUCCUCCUAAAGAGUAACGGAGGAGCACGAAGGUUGGCUAAUCCUGGUCGGACAUCAGGAGGUUAGUGCAAUGGCAUAAGCCAGCUUGACUGCGAGCGUGACGGCGCGAGCAGGUGCGAAAGCAGGUCAUAGUGAUCCGGUGGUUCUGAAUGGAAGGGCCAUCGCUCAACGGAUAAAAGGUACUCCGGGGAUAACAGGCUGAUACCGCCCAAGAGUUCAUAUCGACGGCGGUGUUUGGCACCUCGAUGUCGGCUCAUCACAUCCUGGGGCUGAAGUAGGUCCCAAGGGUAUGGCUGUUCGCCAUUUAAAGUGGUACGCGAGCUGGGUUUAGAACGUCGUGAGACAGUUCGGUCCCUAUCUGCCGUGGGCGCUGGAGAAYUGAGGGGGGCUGCUCCUAGUACGAGAGGACCGGAGUGGACGCAUCACUGGUGUUCGGGUUGUCAUGCCAAUGGCACUGCCCGGUAGCUAAAUGCGGAAGAGAUAAGUGCUGAAAGCAUCUAAGCACGAAACUUGCCCCGAGAUGAGUUCUCCCUGACUCCUUGAGAGUCCUGAAGGAACGUUGAAGACGACGACGUUGAUAGGCCGGGUGUGUAAGCGCAGCGAUGCGUUGAGCUAACCGGUACUAAUGAACCGUGAGGCUUAACCUUACAACGCCGAAG
Molecule: ribosomal RNA, 2925 nt
Filed under: Escherichia coli
Lineage: Bacteria; Pseudomonadati; Pseudomonadota; Gammaproteobacteria; Enterobacterales; Enterobacteriaceae
Description: partial 23S ribosomal RNA
Source: RNAcentral